GACGAACGCUGGCGGCGUGCUUAACACAUGCAAGUCGAACGGAAAGGCCCUGCUUUUGUGGGGUGCUCGAGUGGCGAACGGGUGAGUAACACGUGAGUAACCUGCCCUUGACUUUGGGAUAACUUCAGGAAACUGGGGCUAAUACCGGAUAGGAGCUCCUGCUGCAUGGUGGGGGUUGGAAAGUUUCGGCGGUUGGGGAUGGACUCGCGGCUUAUCAGCUUGUUGGUGGGGUAGUGGCUUACCAAGGCUUUGACGGGUAGCCGGCCUGAGAGGGUGACCGGCCACAUUGGGACUGAGAUACGGACCAGACUGCUACGGGAGGCAGCAGUGGGGAAUAUUGCACAAUGGGCGGAAGCCUGAUGCAGCAACGCCGCGUGCGGGAUGACGGCCUUCGGGUUGUAAACCGAUUUCGCCUGUGACGAAGCGUGAGUGACGGUAAUGGGUAAAGAAGCACCGGCUAACUACGUG
RNAcentral lists this ribosomal RNA (468 nucleotides) under uncultured bacterium. Its description in RNAcentral is "partial 16S ribosomal RNA". It matches the Rfam family "Bacterial small subunit ribosomal RNA", at positions 28 to 507 of the family's 1533-position model. The record is from RNAcentral.